UACGGAGGGGGCUAGCGUUGUUCGGAAUUACUGGGCGUAAAGCGCACGUAGGCGGCUUUGCAAGUUAGAGGUGAAAGCCCGGGGCUCAACUCCGGAAUUGCCUUUAAAACUGCAUCGCUAGAAUUGUGGAGAGGUAAGUGGAAUUCCGAGUGUAGAGGUGAAAUUCGUAGAUAUUCGGAAGAACACCAGUGGCGAAGGCGACUUACUGGACCACUUCUGACGCUGAGACACGAAAGCGUGGGUAGCAAACAGG
RNAcentral lists this ribosomal RNA (253 nucleotides) under uncultured bacterium. RNAcentral's name for it is "partial 16S ribosomal RNA". It matches the Rfam family "Bacterial small subunit ribosomal RNA", at positions 524 to 776 of the family's 1533-position model. The record is from RNAcentral.